This is a long non-coding RNA of Oreochromis niloticus (Nile tilapia), 258 nucleotides long. RefSeq lists it as uncharacterized. The transcript is spliced from 3 exons. The record is from RefSeq and is a predicted model, not a curated record. NCBI's taxonomy places the organism in Eukaryota, Metazoa, Chordata, Actinopteri, Cichliformes, Cichlidae.
UUGGAACUUCCCGUCGCUGAUGUGGCUAUAUCUAUCCGAAGUAAUCAGUCUGUAGUUUGUAUGCUUUUUUUCACCUUUCUCCCUUCCUUCAGAGUUGCCAUGAUGAAGAGGAUGACGAUGGAGAAGUGAAGAGUUUUGAAGAAAAGAGAUGGAGAAGCAGAAGCUGUUGUAUCAGCAGGCUCGGCUGCACGACCGUGGCGCUGCUGAGAUGGUGCUCCAAACCAUCAGUGCUAGUAAAGGUUGUCAGGUCUCUGGCCC